This 22-nucleotide microRNA is filed under the name Anolis carolinensis (green anole). Its description in RNAcentral is "aca-miR-181c-5p". Its record names the gene aca-miR-181c-5p. RNAcentral also lists the same sequence under 1 other name. Lineage: Eukaryota; Metazoa; Chordata; Lepidosauria; Squamata; Anolidae. The record is from miRBase by way of RNAcentral.
AACAUUCAUUCUGUCGGUGGGU